Molecule: RNA transcript, 3523 nt
Organism: Triticum aestivum (bread wheat)
Lineage: Eukaryota; Viridiplantae; Streptophyta; Magnoliopsida; Poales; Poaceae
Gene name: ERAD-associated E3 ubiquitin-protein ligase HRD1
Exons: 4
Source: RefSeq, a predicted model, not a curated record
CGCCGCGCACACAACACACAUUGCAUGAACCCUAGCCUCCAAUCCUCUGCCAGCACACCCUCACUCCUCCCUCGCUCCACUGCAGCCGCCACACUUCUCUCUCCUCGGUUCUCUCUUCCCCCUCAUUCACCACAGCCAUAGCCCCAGGAGCUUCGCAGUCCCUGUCAAGGAGAUCCAUGGCCUCCCAAGGUGCUCAUCUGCCCAGGUCGUGAGGAAGCCGGGGGAGGAGGAGACCUCGUCGCGAGGGAGCUUCGGGAGGAGGAGCUCAACCCAAGAGGAGAGGAUGCCAGCCAGGGAGUCGUCUUGGCUGGACGUGGUCCUUCGCGUCUUGAACCUAGCGCCGUAGGCGGCUCGUGCAAUGGCGCAGCGGAGGACGGCCUCAGCUGGUGGGUGACGGCGCCCGCAUCUGGUGCAUGACCUCGCAUCCUAGGUGCGUGCUGGAUUAGCUCGCGUCUUCACGGCCUUCAGGAUUUAAUAAGAUGUCUUGGGCUUCAUUGGAAAAAUGAUCUACCUGGAGCAAUGAUACAUGAACCAUGGUGUCCUACUGCACUUGAUCUGUGAGCUGUACGAGACCUUCCGCAACUUCAAAAUUCAUGUUUCAGAUUAUUUGCACCCCAGAAAGACAACUUCCACCAUGAAUGGACGCUUUCUAGAUGCUACAACGGAUGAGCUUAAUGUGAGUGAUGUUACAUGUAUUAUCUGCUGUGAAGAGACGACAACAGCAAAGAAGCUGCUUUGUGGGCACUUGUUUCAUGUGCAUUGUCUGAGGUCAUGGCGAGAGCGCCAAAAUACUUGCCCGACAUGUAGAUCUCCCAUUGCCCCCCGGACAAUGGACGUGCUCCAUCAGCGCGAUAGCAUGAAGCCCAACUGGGAGUUAGCUUGGUGAGCUUCGUUUUGUUGUUCAAUUUUUUGUUUUGAUUUUUUCUACUUAACCAUUUCUAUCAGUGAGGGCUACAAUUGGCAAAUAGUUUUUAUGUGAUUCCUAAUUUAGUGUGAGGAAAAAUAGCUGCAGGCGUCGGUGCUCCAGGUCCAGAAGGAGUAACAAGCAAGAACGUGAACAGGCGCCCAACAAAAUAGGCAAUCUUCAUUGAAAGUUGUAACAUAUUUACAACUGGAUUCAGUUUUAAAUCAGAAAUAGAAGUCGUUCAAGUUUCAGACAGUUAUAUGAUGUGGCAUGUGCAUGCUUUACAGUUACCUUGCAAGUGUCGUGAUGAUGCAUAGAUAUUUAUGUAUCUAUAUGAAUGUCAGACCCUGCGUGAUUGAUCUUAUUUUAUUCCUAUGUGAGAACUAGCUCUCCUUUAGUAAUGCAGUACUUUUAUACUAGACUAAAGUGGGAAUGGUUGGAUUGCGCUCUAUAGGACAGUGUGAUUUCUUCUCAUAGAAUGUUGUCAUCUAUAUCUUGCUGAAUGUACAUUACUAUAUUUUGCAUGAUAAUAUGUUUUUGCUAUGCCAGUCAUAUAAGUUAUCUAUUUUCUACAGGUUGUUACAUCCCCAAAGAGGAUUCCAGCAGCAAAACUUCAAGCUUGAAUGGAAGGUAGUCCAAGAGCUUUAUGAUGUUGAUUUCUUUACGAACAUUAUGGGAAGUGGACUUCAUUAUGAUUGGUGCCACAUUCCUAAUUUACUGCUCAUUUCGUAGUUGUACAAAAAAAUGCCUGGGCGUGCAAGUUUUAUGUGAAAAUGAUGCACCGGCGGUCUUUUGGAAGAAUGGGAAAAUCACAUGGAUGUCGGAUUGCAAGCACGUAGGGCAUUGCUUAUGUGGCGUACAGUUCAUAAAAACCUCCUGAAUUGAGUAUUUAUUUUUCAGUUCUAUGCUUUGUUAGACUACUAGAGCUAGAGGUGUUAAAAUCCUAGAUGAUGCUAGAUGGUGUAAUGGCAUUAGUGCUGAAUUAUAUUACAAAAUGUACAAUUUGGAUAAGUAUAACAAAUCUAUUAGAUUUGGUUUUUUUAUUCAUAUCAUCAGUCUACAAUCACCACUCUGCUCUGCCUUUCACUUUGCAGCCCUCGCUCAGGUCUUACUCUGUCUCGCCUAGCUGCCACUCUCUUCUAGAGUGGUUGUGACCCCACCAUGCGCAAGGUAUUCACCAAGAACCAGAAGGUGCUCUUUGGACACUAUGGGUAUGGCUACAUCCGUGGCUGGAGGAAAUUUGCGGCCAUUUCAAUUCAGCCCAUUUUACACCUACCGGUGCAUUAAUAAUAAUUAUGAUAUAUGCAUACUACAUUAUUAGUCUUCACCUUUUUUACAUACUACUCCCAUUUGAAUACACUUUUAGAAAAAGUAAACAUACCUAUGGUAGACACAUUCUUGCCUGUACACUUCUUUUUGAAACAUUUAAAAAACUCAGUUUACAGAGUAUGGGUUGGUUACUACGUUGGAGUAAUUAUGGACAUCUCAAAUUUAGCGCCUAGGAUUCCUAUUUUGACUGAUUUGAGUAUCUCUUGGUGAGUCCUCAAAUUACAAAUUUGAAAAUAACUCUCCUGAAAACGCUGGCAAAACUCUAUGUGGUCUAUAGAUAAAUAUUUGAUGAUCUUGCUUAAUAACUUGCUAGCGGGCAGAAAAUAUAUCAUGUUAGUACCAUUCAUGUAUCCGCUUUCACAGACCAUCUAACAUGACUUCUUAUUUAAUUUUGACGGGAUGCUAAGGGCUGCAAGAAAUAAAAUAGUAUGUUGCAUUUUCCCUACAGGUAAGGAAACAUGUACCUUAUUUCUGCAAAGAUGUGCUCUAUUUUUUUAUUCCAUGAGUAUUUGCAUUCCCUAUAGAAGCUGACUGGUUACAUUUAUGUUUAGUAUACACCAUCAUAAUCUCCCAAAUACUGCACUCAUUUAUACUUUCCCGCCCAUGUUUAAAAUAGCGUGUUUUAGUUCUGAUUACAGCCAUAUAGGUAUUAAUGUAUAAGAGUUUGCUUUCAGUUCUGGUUAAAUGAACUUGGAUGAUCAAUCAAAUUUCCAGUGAUGAUACUCUAGCGGAUCCUGACAGAAGUUGUGCAUGUAGUACAUGUUUUCAGUUCAGCAAGGUCUUUUUUAGUUAGAUCAAUUUUGAAGACUAACAUGUCAUAUGAAUGCUCCCAGCUUAGCAAAAUCCUUGGUCUUUCCAUUUUUGUAAGUUGAGGGAAUACUUUGCUACUUCAAAAUCUCUAGAUAAAAGUUGAAGAAUUCAUACGAUAGUCGAUUGGAAACAUAUAUCUAGCAAUUCAUUUUUUUCAUGCACACAAUGAGAUAAAUUGAUAUUACACAAGCCUUUACAAUUUAGUGCUUCUGUUAUUAGAAUCGGGACACUUGCUUUGUUACCGUACUUAAGAGUUGCCGAUUGCUUACUAUAGUAAUAGCAGGAAGGUUUGCAGUCAACUUAUUUGCAGUUGUAAUUAGUCGACUUGUGCUCCUUAAAUUGUUGUUCUUUGGUGACCAGUGAAUGGAAAAUUGACUCUCUUCCGUAUGUCUGAUCUAAUUGUUGGGAAAAUCUUCAGCACAUUGUAAUAUGAAAGGUUUUACCCUGCACAAAAAUAAAAAUAUGAAAGGUUUUGAUUUU